RNAcentral lists this ribosomal RNA (280 nucleotides) under uncultured Bifidobacteriales bacterium. Its description in RNAcentral is "partial 16S ribosomal RNA". It matches the Rfam family "Bacterial small subunit ribosomal RNA", at positions 504 to 783 of the family's 1533-position model. The record is from RNAcentral. Lineage: Bacteria; Bacillati; Actinomycetota; Actinomycetes; Bifidobacteriales.
UGUGCCAGCAGCCGCGGUAAUACGUAGGGCGCAAGCGUUAUCCGGAUUUAUUGGGCGUAAAGGGCUCGUAGGCGGCUCGUCGCGUCCGGUGUGAAAGUCCAUCGCUUAACGGUGGAUCUGCGCCGGGUACGGGCGGGCUGGAGUGCGGUAGGGGAGACUGGAAUUCCCGGUGUAACGGUGGAAUGUGUAGAUAUCGGGAAGAACACCGAUGGCGAAGGCAGGUCUCUGGGCCGUCACUGACGCUGAGGAGCGAAAGCGUGGGGAGUGAACAGGAUUAGAU